This 253-nucleotide ribosomal RNA is filed under the name uncultured bacterium. RNAcentral describes it as "partial 16S ribosomal RNA". It matches the Rfam family "Bacterial small subunit ribosomal RNA", at positions 524 to 776 of the family's 1533-position model. The record is from RNAcentral.
UACAGAGGGGGCAAGCGUUGUUCGGAAUUACUGGGCGUAAAGGGCUCGUAGGUGGCCAACUAAGUCGGACGUGAAAUCCCUCGGCUUAACCGGGGAACUGCGUCCGAUACUGGUUGGCUUGAGUACAGGAGAGGGUGGGGGAAUUCCUGGUGUAGCGGUGAAAUGCGUAGAUAUCUGGAGGAAUACCGGUGGCGAAGGCGGCAUCCUGGACCGGCAUUGACGCUGAGGAGCGAAAGCCAGGGGAGCAAACGGG